Molecule: ribosomal RNA, 403 nt
Filed under: uncultured dinoflagellate
Lineage: Eukaryota; Dinophyceae
Description: partial small subunit ribosomal RNA
Rfam family: Eukaryotic small subunit ribosomal RNA
Source: RNAcentral
GCUUGUCUCAAAGAUUAAGCCAUGCAUGUCUAAGUACAAGCCUCAGUAAGGUGAAACCGCGAAUGGCUCAUUAAAUCACACCUAAUCUACUGGAAAGUUACUAGUUACUUGGAUAACUGUGGUAAUUCUAGAGCUAAUACAUGCAUCAAGACCCAACUUCAUGGAAGGGUCGUGUUUAUUAGAUACAGAACCAACCCAGGUUCGUCCUGGUUUUGUGGUGAUUCAUGAUAACUGAAUGAAUCGUAUGGCAUCCGCUGGCGAUAAAUCAUUCAAGUUUCUGACCUAUCAGCUUCCGACGGUAGGGUAUUGGCCUACCGUGGCAAUGACGGGUAACGGAGAAUUAGGGUUCGAUUCCGGAGAGGGAGCCUGAGAAACGGCUACCACAUCUAAGGAAGGCAGCAGG